UUACACUGACGUUGAAACAGCGGUUCUCGUACGACCACCGAAGUUAAGCAACGUCAAGCUUUGUCAGUACUUAGAUGGGUGACCGCUUUGGAAUAACAGGUGCUGUAA
Molecule: non-coding RNA, 108 nt
Organism: Acanthosepion pharaonis
Lineage: Eukaryota; Metazoa; Mollusca; Cephalopoda; Sepiida; Sepiidae
Source: the annotation of a GenBank genome assembly